AGGAUCAGAAUCAAAAAUUAAAAGUGGUCAGGUUAGAUGUCCAGAUCAUGCUGUGCAAAUGCCAGCUGUGGCUAAUGGCAUUACUUUUAAAAAUGUGCUUUUUUGGAUUUAUUACUACUAAGGUGUCUGAAAGUCUGCACUGGAAGGCACAGAGAUGAGCCCAACUGUUUGCAUUUCGGUGAUGCAGAGAGAGCUAGCGGUGACUAUGUCCAGCUUCUUGAAUAGCACUAGGAAAUGGCCUCCUCAAUAAUGUGAGCUUCAUACUCUCAUCUUCUGUUUCAGCUACAGAACAUCAGUUAGAAAGAGCUCCAGUCCUGACAAAGGAAAUAACAGAAAGUGACAUGGGAAGUCUCUUCCUGUACUGGUUAUGGUCCAAAACAACUGGAAGAGGGAAUCCACUCCAGAUACAAACCCCACCUAAUGGAAAUAAUUGACUUUUCCUGACUCAGAACUAACAAGAGAAGUUAAACAUUAACAAGUGCCCCAUGGGACCGCACUCCUGUUGAAGACUGGGAGAACUCUCAAAAGAAGAAGGAAAAUGUCCUCUAACAUCCACUGACCCAGAUCCAGAGUCAGGCCACUGAUAUAUCAUGCCAAGAUUUGCACUGAUGCAGGAUUCAGUCUUGGUAGACAGUUUUCACGGAUACAUCCUCACUGCAAACUGAGUGAUGCCUGGGACUGUCAGGAAGUUUUCACAACAUUUACACAGCAGAAAAUGAGACCAAGAUUAGAUGACAAUUCUGGACAGAAAUCGAGGGAGGUACGUAAGCUGAGGCUGGUUUUGUCUGCAACACAAAAUAGGUCUGUUAAAGAAAAACUAAUUUUUAUUCUGGUGUUAUGGUGAGAACUAUCACAGCUGGGCCUCAUAUAUCUGAGACAGCAUAAAGAAGAGAUUUCCCAGCAAGAGUGCUUCCCUGAUGAGUGAAAAACAGGUCACUGGUUCAUAUAGUUGUAUUAUUUAACACAUAAAAAAAUUAAAUAAAUUUUUCAUUAAUUACA
Pipra filicauda (Wire-tailed manakin) is the source of this 999-nucleotide long non-coding RNA. RefSeq lists it as uncharacterized. The record is from RefSeq and is a predicted model, not a curated record. The transcript has 2 exons. Lineage: Eukaryota; Metazoa; Chordata; Aves; Passeriformes; Pipridae.